GAGUUUGAUCCUGGCUCAGAACGAACGCUGGCGGCAGGCCUAACACAUGCAAGUCGAACGCCGUAGCAAUACGGAGUGGCAGACGGGUGAGUAACGCGUGGGAACCUUCCCUAUGGUUCGGAAUAGCUCAGGGAAACCUGGGGUAAUACCGGAUAAGCCCUUCGGGGAAAGAUUUAUCGCCAUUGGAUGGGCCCGCGUAGGAUUAGCUAGUUGGUGAGGUAACGGCUCACCAAGGCGACGAUCCUUAGCUGGUCUGAGAGGAUGAUCAGCCACACUGGGACUGAGACACGGCCCAGACUCCUACGGGAGGCAGCAGUGGGGAAUAUUGGACAAUGGGCGAAAGCCUGAUCCAGCAAUGCCGCGUGAGUGAAGAAGGCCUUCGGUUGUAAG
This 390-nucleotide ribosomal RNA is filed under the name uncultured Alphaproteobacteria bacterium. Its description in RNAcentral is "bacterial SSU rRNA". It matches the Rfam family "Bacterial small subunit ribosomal RNA", at positions 9 to 429 of the family's 1533-position model. The record is from RNAcentral. Lineage: Bacteria; Pseudomonadati; Pseudomonadota; Alphaproteobacteria.